GGCGGUGAGGUUUGAGGCCAUCGACUACUCGCUGGA
RNAcentral lists this transfer RNA (36 nucleotides) under Alexandrium catenella. RNAcentral's name for it is "partial Selenocysteine transfer RNA". Lineage: Eukaryota; Dinophyceae; Gonyaulacales; Pyrocystaceae. The record is from RNAcentral.